GACGAACGCUGGCGGCAGGCCUAACACAUGCAAGUCGAACGCUCCGCAAGGGGGAGUGGCGCACGGGUGAGUAACACGUGGGAACCUACCUUCUGGUACGGAACAACCAAGGGAAACUUUGGCUAAGACCGUAUACGACCUCCGGGUGAAAGAUUGAUCGCCGGAAGAGGUGCCCGCGUCCGAUUAGGUAGUUGGUGAGGUAACGGCUCACCAAGCCUUCGAUCGGUAGCUGGUCUGAGAGGAUGACCAGCCACACUGGGACUGAGACACGGCCCAGACUCCUACGGGAGGC
Molecule: ribosomal RNA, 292 nt
Filed under: uncultured bacterium
Lineage: Bacteria
Description: partial 16S ribosomal RNA
Rfam family: Bacterial small subunit ribosomal RNA
Source: RNAcentral